AUUGUAAACAAUCAAAUUUAAUUUGAUGUUUAUAAAAAAUUAUGUAUGUGAACAUACAUUCUGUCAUCUAUAUGUGUCUGUAAUCCAUUAGCUUAUUUACAAUGAUCAAAGAAUAGAAGUGUGAAUAAAUCAGAAUGGCACAUGAUUGAAAAUGCUGUGUAACUGAAGAUGCAUUUGUGUAGUCUUGAGGAAUUUCAUUUGAAACAAAAUUGUUAGUCUAUAUCUUGAAGCACAUUGCUACUUUGUAUUUUUAUUGAUGUAUAAUUAACAUUCAAUAAAAUGCACAUAAUAUCCAG
Molecule: small RNA, 296 nt
Filed under: Pan troglodytes (chimpanzee)
Lineage: Eukaryota; Metazoa; Chordata; Mammalia; Primates; Hominidae
Description: sense intronic
Source: RNAcentral